Molecule: ribosomal RNA, 265 nt
Filed under: uncultured Pseudomonas sp.
Lineage: Bacteria; Pseudomonadati; Pseudomonadota; Gammaproteobacteria; Pseudomonadales; Pseudomonadaceae
Description: partial 16S ribosomal RNA
Rfam family: Bacterial small subunit ribosomal RNA
Source: RNAcentral
AGCACGUUAUGGUGGGCACUCUAAGGAGACUGCCGGUGACAGACCGGAGGAAGGUGGGGAUGACGUCAAGUCAUCAUGGCCCUUACGGCCUGGGCUACACACGUGCUACAAUGGUCGGUACAAAGGGUUGCCAAGCCGCGAGGUGGAGGCUAAUCCCAUAAAACCGAAUCGUAGUCCGGAUCGCAGUCUGCAACUCGACUGCGUGAAGUCGGAAUCGCUAGUAAUCGUGAAUCAGAAUGUCACGGUGAAUACGUUCCCGGGCCUU